Callorhinus ursinus (northern fur seal) is the source of this 1797-nucleotide non-coding RNA. NCBI's taxonomy places the organism in Eukaryota, Metazoa, Chordata, Mammalia, Carnivora, Otariidae. The record is from RefSeq and is a predicted model, not a curated record.
CCCUCGAUGCCAGGAGCACCCCCUAGUGUCACAACCACUGAUGUCCCCAGACAUCACCCUAUGUAAGCGGGGGGGCCCGGGGGGAUGCGGAAUCACCUUCUCUCAUGUGACUCAUGGCCCUCAGCAAAUUCUUACAACGUGGGGCCAGGCCAGGGAGAGAUUGGCAGAGACAGGGCUCUGAGCCAGUCCCCAAAGGCAGGCAGGCUGCCCCCGCCCCCCGGCUUUGGAGCCCUCUGUCCAGGUUCUGAGAGGCCCUGGGGUCCUCGUCCAGCCUGGGAGUGCAGGGGCAUCCAGGAGACCAGGGCGCAGGCGGGGAGAGAGGCCAGAGAGAGGCAUCCUCCGGGAGUGGCGGCUGCAAGGCCCAUUGCACAGAUAGGAAUACUGAGCUGCAGGGUGCAGUAAGGGACCGCAAGCUGUGCCAGAAAAGAAAAGACCCCCCUUCCUCUACCUUGUGGGCCAAGUCUAAAGAGCCUACAGGGGGCGGGGUGCCCUAGCCCCCCAGGCGCAAGGAGGCUGGGCUUCUCCCCAGCUGCUGUGGAUCCGGAGGCUGCAGGACUCCUGUGAUGCUCCGGGGCUGACUUGGAGAGGCUUCCGGGCGCUCCAAGCGGCAGUGAUUUGCCAGGCAGGUGUGCCGUUCAGAGGCCUCGAAUACUCACCCUGGGGAGCGGCCAUGCUCACCACCCGUCUCCAGAACUUUCUCAUCUUCCCAGACUGGACCUCGGUCCCCAUGCAGCCAGUUGGCCUUUGAGAGCAUGCACAGAAUCUUUACGGCCCCUCCAGGAAACUUGGUGUUCAUUCGGGGGUUUUUUCGUGGUGUACCUCGAAUCCAGACAUAGCUCUGUUCAGCCAGAUGUGGCUCCCGAAUGGUUGAUAAGCUCGCCUUCAGCACCUCGGCAUCUUCACUCGAGUCAAGCAGGUGUUUAGCGGGCACCACUCUGCAGGACUGUAUCCUGAGCCCUGGGGAUUAGGCGGUGAGCGGCCAGGCCUGUUUGCUGGAAACUGCUGGCCGUGACCCAGUCGUCUUCUAGUUUCCCACUGGCCUCCUUUCUGCCCCCUUUGCUGGACUCCAGCAUUGGGGUGCCCGGGAAUGCCCUCUCUGUCCGUGCUCCCUUGGGGGAUGCCAUGCAGCCUUCGAGCUGGGGAAGACCAACCCCUCCACUCCCAGUGCCAAGCCCACCCUCUCUCUGACACUCCUGAUCCAUCUGUCCACUGCCUCUGGACAUCUGAUGGACACAUCUCCAUUGUGAAGAAGAAGAACAGAGUCAUGGCUCACGCCUCACACUUGCUGUCUUCCCAAACCAAUGUGCUGUGGCCCCCAGAAGCCCUUUGGGUCCUUUGCUUCCCAUCCCCCUGACAUCUGACGCAGCAUCAAAUCUUCUCGACUUGACCUUCAAAGUAGAUCCAGUCUUCAUUCUGCUACUGCUGUCUCCGUCUGUGCCCCCCGGAUGCCCACCCCAGAUCCGCAGCAGGCCGCUCACGCCCUGCUGGAUGUUCUCACUCGGCCAUGGGUGUGACAGAGGGAACAUAAAGGUGGGCAGUUAUCUGCUUAAAGUAAUGCUAACAUCUUCCCCUCACACUGUUUGGGGGCACCUUUCCAUUUUUAAUUCUAAUUUUUUGGAAGAAAAAAAUUGGAUUUUAUUCCUAAACAACCACACUUAUAUACUAAUGGGAUGUGCCAUCCACUGGGACAUUGGAACCAGACAGAACAUGGCCACCCUCAUAUCUUCCUUCAGGUCGACUUAUUUUUCUUUUUACUUUUUUAUCGUGAUAAAAUAUAUAUGGCGGAAAAUUGACCAU